RNAcentral lists this ribosomal RNA (465 nucleotides) under Vreelandella stevensii. RNAcentral's name for it is "partial 16S ribosomal RNA". It matches the Rfam family "Bacterial small subunit ribosomal RNA", at positions 338 to 795 of the family's 1533-position model. The record is from RNAcentral. Lineage: Bacteria; Pseudomonadati; Pseudomonadota; Gammaproteobacteria; Oceanospirillales; Halomonadaceae.
CCUACGGGCGGCAGCAGUGGGGAAUAUUGGACAAUGGGGGGAACCCUGAUCCAGCCAUGCCGCGUGUGUGCAGAAGUCCCUCGGGUUGUAAAGCACUUUCAGUGAGGAAGAACGCCUGGUGGUUAAUACCCAUCAGGAAAGACAUCACUCACAGAAGAAGCACCGUCUAACUCCGUGCCAGCAGCCGCGGUAAUACGGAGGGUGCGAGCGUUAAUCGGAAUUACUGGGCGUAAAGCGCGCGUAGGUGGCUUGAUAAGCCGGUUGUGAAAGCCCCGGGCUCAACCUGGGAACGGCAUCCGGAACUGUCAAGCUAGAGUGCAGGAGAGGAAGGUAGAAUUCCCGGUGUAGCGGUGAAAUGCGUAGAGAUCGGGAGGAAUACCAGUGGCGAAGGCGGCCUUCUGGACUGACACUGACACUGAGGUGCGAAAGCGUGGGUAGCAAACAGGAUUAGAUACCCGUGUAGUC